RNAcentral lists this ribosomal RNA (763 nucleotides) under uncultured bacterium. Its description in RNAcentral is "bacterial SSU rRNA". It matches the Rfam family "Bacterial small subunit ribosomal RNA", at positions 1 to 705 of the family's 1533-position model. The record is from RNAcentral.
CCGANUGGGCCCUCUNGAAUGCAUGCAUCGAGCUCCNNNCUCANCUGAGANGNAAAUAUCUGCAGANUUCCCCCUUAGAGUUNGAUCCUGGCUCAGAAUGAACGUUGGCGGCGUGGAUUAGGCAUGCAAGUCGAGCGCGAAUCAGUCUUCGGACUGAGGAGAGCGGCGAACGGGGUAGGAAUACCUCGGUGACGUACCCCCGGGUCGGGGAUAGCGGCGGGAAACUGCCGGUAAUACCCGAUAAUCUUCCCAAGUCUUACGGCAGGGGAAGCAAAGGUGUGAUUCCGUCUGGGGAGCGGCUGAGGUCGUAUUAGCUGGUUGGUGAGGUNAUGGCUCACCAAGGCGAUGAUGCGUAGGGGGUGUGAGAGCAUGGCCCCCACCACUGGCACUGAGACACUGGCCAGACACCUACGGGUGGCUGCAGUCGAGAAUCUUCGGCAAUGGGCGCAAGCCUGACCGAGCGACGCCGCGUGCGGGAUGAAGGUCUUCGGAUUGUAAACCGCUGUCGGAGGGGAUGAAGUGCAGGUGGGUACUCCCACCUGUUUGACAGAGCCUCGGAGGAAGCACGGGCUAAGUUCGUGCCAGCAGCCGCGGUAAUACGAACUGUGCGAACGUUAUUCGGAAUCNCUGGGCUUUAAGGGUGCGUAGGCGGCGGCUCCGUCAGGUNUGAAUCCCCGGCUCAACCGGGAACNNNCUUGAACUAGUCNCUCANUGAGCAGGGUGCAUGNACUUCCGGGNACCGUNAAUNUUUAAAAUCGAAAGA